ACGCUAGCGGCGGACGGGUGAGUAAUGCUUAGGAAUCUGCCUAUUAGUGGGGGACAACAUUCCGAAAGGAAUGCUAAUACCGCAUACGCCCUACGGGGGAAAGCAGGGGAUCUUCGGACCUUGCGCUAAUAGAUGAGCCUAAGUCAGAUUAGCUAGUUGGUGGGGUAAAGGCCUACCAAGGCGACGAUCUGUAGCGGGUCUGAGAGGAUGAUCCGCCACACUGGGACUGAGACACGGCCCAGACUCCUACGGGAGGCAGCAGUGGGGAAUAUUGGACAAUGGGCGNAAGCCUGAUCCAGCCAUGCCGCGUGUGUGAAGAAGGCCUUUUGGUUGUAAAGCACUUUAAGCGAGGAGGAGGCUACUUGGAUUAAUACUCUAGGAUAGUGGACGUUACUCGCAGAAUAAGCACCGGCUAACUCUGUGCCAGCAGCCGCGGUAAUACAGAGGGUGCGAGCGUUAAUCGGAUUUACUGGGCGUAAAGCGUGCGUAGGCGGCUUCUUAAGUCGGAUGUGAAAUCCCUGAGCUUAACUUAGGAAUUGCAUUCGAUACUGGGAAGCUAGAGUAUGGGAGAGGAUGGUAGAAUUCCAGGUGUAGCGGUGAAAUGCGUAGAGAUCUGGAGGAAUACCGAUGGCGAAGGCAGCCAUCUGGCCUAAUACUGACGCUGAGGUACGAAAGCAUGGGGAGCAAACAGGAUUAGAUACCCUGGUAGUCCAUGCCGUAAACGAUGUCUACUAGCCGUUGGGGCCUUUGA
Molecule: ribosomal RNA, 751 nt
Filed under: bacterium 100_oclvp78
Lineage: Bacteria
Description: bacterial SSU rRNA
Rfam family: Bacterial small subunit ribosomal RNA
Source: RNAcentral